GAUGAACGCUGGCGGCGUGCCUAAUACAUGCAAGUCGAGCGAACAGACGAGGAGCUUGCUCCUCUGACGUUAGCGGCGGACGGGUGAGUAACACGUGGAUAACCUACCUAUAAGACUGGGAUAACUUCGGGAAACCGGAGCUAAUACCGGAUAAUAUAUUGAACCGCAUGGUUCAAUGGUGAAAGACGGUUUUGCUGUCACUUAUAGAUGGAUCCGCGCCGCAUUAACUAGUUGGUAAGGUAACGGCUUACCAAGGCAACGAUGCGUAGCCGACCUGAGAGGGUGAUCGGCCACACUGGAACUGAGACACGGUCCAGACUCCUACGGGAGGCAGCAGUAGGGAAUCUUCCGCAAUGGGCGAAAGCCUGACGGAGCAACGCCGCGUGAGUGAUGAAGGUCUUCGGAUCGUAAAACUCUGUUAUUAGGGAAGAACAAAUGUGUAAGUAACUAUGCACGUCUUGACGGUACCUAAUCAGAAAGCCACGGCUAACUACGUG
This 497-nucleotide ribosomal RNA is filed under the name uncultured bacterium. RNAcentral's name for it is "partial 16S ribosomal RNA". It matches the Rfam family "Bacterial small subunit ribosomal RNA", at positions 28 to 507 of the family's 1533-position model. The record is from RNAcentral.